This 1245-nucleotide ribosomal RNA is filed under the name Bathylaimus sp. PB-2005. RNAcentral's name for it is "SSU rRNA". It matches the Rfam family "Eukaryotic small subunit ribosomal RNA", at positions 88 to 1340 of the family's 1831-position model. Lineage: Eukaryota; Metazoa; Nematoda; Enoplea; Enoplida; Tripyloididae. The record is from RNAcentral.
CGCGAAUGGCUCAUUACAACAGCCAUAGUUUAUUAGAUCUAACUCUACUUGGAUACCUGUGGUAACCUAAGAGCUAAUACAUGCAAUCAAGUCCUGACCUUUCGGGAAGGACGCAUUUAUUAGAACAAAACCAAUCGGGCUUGCCCGUAGUUUGGUGAAUCUGAAUAACUAUGCAGAUCGCACAGUCUUGGAACUGGCGACGUAUCUUUCAAAUGUCUGGCUUAUCAACUUUCGACAGUAGUUUACACGUCUACCGUGGUCGUAACGGGUAACGGAGAAUUAGGGUUCGACUCCGGAGAGGGAGCCUGAGAAACGGCCACCACAUCCAAGGAAGGCAGCAGGCACGCAAAUUACCCACUCUCGGCACGGGGAGGUAGUGACGAAAAAUAACGAGUCGGUUCUCUAAGAGGCCCGACAUCGAAAUGGGUACAAUUUAAAUCCUUUAACGAGGAUCUACUGGAGGGCAAGUCUGGUGCCAGCAGCCGCGGUAAUUCCAGCUCCAGAAGCGUAUAUUAAAGUUGUUGCGGUUAAAAAGCUCGUAGUUGGAUCUACGCCUUUGGUUGGCGGUCCCCCAGAAGGGUGGUACUGCCGUACCAGGGCUAUUUUUCUGGUUUUCUCUUGGUGCUCUUUACCGAGUGCUUUGGGUGACUGGAACAUUCACUUUGAAAAAAUUAGAGUGCUCAAAGCAGACGAUCUGCCUGAAUAGUGGUGCAUGGAAUAAUAGAAUAGGACUUCGGUUCUAUUUUGUUGGUUUUCGGAACUCGAGGUAAUGAUUAAGAGGGACAGACGGGGGCAUUCGUAUUGCGACGUUAGAGGUGAAAUUCUUGGAUCGUCGCAAGACGCACAACUGCGAAAGCAUUUGCCAAGAAUGUUUUCAUUAAUCAAGAACGGAAGUUAGAGGUUCGAAGGCGAUCAGAUACCGCCCUAGUUCUAACCGUAAACGAUGCCAGCUAGCGAUCCGCGGAAGUUAAUUUCAUGACUUCGCGGGCAGCUUCCGGGAAACCAAAGCUUUUGGGUUCCGGGGGAAGUAUGGUUGCAAAUCUGAAACUUAAAGGAAUUGACGGAAGGGCACCACCAGGAGUGGAGCCUGCGGCUUAAUUUGACUCAACGCGGGAAAACUCACCCGGCCCGGACACCGUAAGGAUUGACAGAUUGAGAGCUCUUUCUUGAUUCGGUAGUUGGUGGUGCAUGGCCGUUCUUAGUUGGUGGAGCGAUUUGUCUAGUUAAUUCCGAUAACGAGCGAGA